GGAUGUGAUCAUACCAGUACUAAAGCACCAGUUUCCAUCAGAAUUUGAAGUUAAGCAUGCUUUGGUGGGAGUACUAUUAGGAUAGGUGACCUCUUGGGAAAUUCUCGUGUUGCAUUCU
Molecule: ribosomal RNA, 118 nt
Filed under: Setaria italica (foxtail millet)
Lineage: Eukaryota; Viridiplantae; Streptophyta; Magnoliopsida; Poales; Poaceae
Also listed under: 1 other name
Source: RNAcentral